RNAcentral lists this ribosomal RNA (460 nucleotides) under uncultured bacterium. RNAcentral's name for it is "partial 16S ribosomal RNA". It matches the Rfam family "Bacterial small subunit ribosomal RNA", at positions 338 to 795 of the family's 1533-position model. The record is from RNAcentral.
CCUACGGGUGGCAGCAGUGAGGAAUAUUGGUCAAUGGCCGUAAGGCUGAACCAGCCAAGUAGCGUGAGGGAAGACUGCCCUAUGGGUUGUAAACCUCUUUUAUGCGGGGACAAAGGUGUCCACGCGUGGCUGUUUGCAGGUACCGGAUGAAUAAGGACCGGCUAAUUCCGUGCCAGCAGCCGCGGUAAUACGGAGGGUCCGGGCGUUAUCCGGAUUUAUUGGGUUUAAAGGGAGCGUAGGCCGGUCUUUAAGCGUGCCGUGAAAUUUUGUGGCUCAACCAUGGGAGUGCGGCGCAAACUGGAAACCUUGAGUGGGCGGAAGGCAGGCGGAAUUCGUGGUGUAGCGGUGAAAUGCAUAGAUAUCACGAAGAACCCCGAUUGCGAAGGCAGCCUGCCGCAGCGUUACUGACGCUGAAGCUCGAAAGCGCGGGUAUCGAACAGGAUUAGAUACCCCUGUAGUC